AUUAGAUGAUUAGUUGACCCGUUUCCUUAAUUAGGGAGAUUAGCUGCCUUUUCUGUUCUUAAUAGAGUUCUCUAAAUACCUGUACAUCAAUAUAGAAAAUUAUUCAGCCUUUUUCAUAUUUUCUGUUCUUUGUUUUUAUAGUAUCAGAGCAGAAAAUAAAAUCCUAAGGUUGAAUUUUUUUAGUCUUUAAAAUGCCCGAAGUCAUGUCCGAGACAAACUAGCCUCUUCAGCCAUCUCAGUCCAAACCUCAAAGAAAUCCAUAUGAAAACCAUCCUAUUCGGAUUAAUACAAUCCGACUAAAUGGUGACAAUUUCCUUAGAUGGUCAUAAUCUGUUCGCAUGUACCUCCGAAGGAGAGGAAAGAUUGGCUAUACCACAGCGAUGCUAAGCAGCUUGACGUGAAUGAUAAAACCUAUGCCAUUUGGGAUGCUAAAAAUUCAAUGGUGAUUACAUGUUCGUCAAUUCCAUAACUGAAGAGAUAAGCGCAAACUACCUCUAUUACACUACAGCCAAGGAAUUAUGGGACAAUGUUUCAAAGAUGUAUUCUGAUCUAGGAAAUCAAUCCCAAGUUUACGAGUUAACCCUACGACUUGGAGAAAUUUUCCAAGGUGAGGAUUCUGUAACAAAGUAUUUUAAUUCUUUUAAGAGCAUUUGGCAGGAUUUGGACUUACUCAAUGAUUAUGAGUAGAAAUCAACCGACGACUGCAAUCAAUACAAAAAGAUAGUGGAUACUGGCCGAAUAUUCAAAUUUCUUGCAGGUUUGAAUGUUGAAUAUGAUAAGGUCUAUGGCCGGAUAAUCAGAAGAAAUCCCUUGUCUCCUAUUGGGGAAGUAUUUGCUGAGGUAAGGAGAGAAGAGAGUCAGAGACACGUGAUGUUGGGAAAGAAGACAACAGGUACAACCGGGUCUGAAGAAGGAUCAGCCUUGGCCAUUCCUGAAGCUCAAGUAAGCAGUAGAACUUCCCAAAACCAGCAUGCAGAAGACAAAAGCAACUUGCACUGUGAUUACUGCGGAAGGUCGCACCAUAUCCAAGAAAAAUGUUGGAAGUUGCAUGGCAAACCAUCUAAUGGUAGGGCAAAGAAAUCUUAUGAGCAAAACAUGCUUGCAGCAAAUGAGGCCGGGUCAUCUCCAUUUAGUAAAGAGCAAUUAAAUCAACUUCUUAAACUACUGAAAUCCUGCCCAUCAUCUAAUGCUCCUAUCGGAUCUAUGGCACAAACAGGUAGCAAUCCUUUGGCACUUUCUGUUCUUGGAAGAACCACCCCUUGGAUCAUAGAUUCAGGGGCCUCCGAUCAUAUGACAAGCUGUUCCUCAGAAGACAAAAGCAACUUGCACUGUGACUACUGCGGAAGGUCGCACCAUACCCAAGAAAAAUGUUGGAAGUUGCAUGGCAAACCAUCUAAUGGUAGGGCAAAGAAAUCUUAUGAGCAAAACAUGCUUGCAGCAAAUGAGGCCGGGUCAUCUCCAUUUAGUAAAGAGCAAUUAAAUCAACUUCUUAAACUACUGAAAUCCUGCCCAUCAUCUAAUGCUCCUAUCGGAUCUAUGGCACAAACAGGUAGCAAUCCUUUGGCACUUUCUGUUCUUGGAAGAACCACCCCUUGGAUCAUAGAUUCAGGGGCCUCCGAUCAUAUGACAAGCUGUUCCUAAAUUUUUCAUACAUAUUAUCCAUGUUCUGGAAUCGAAAAAAUUAGAAUAGCUUAUGGCAGUUUUUCACGUAUUGCAGGCAAACGGAACCUUAAAAUUUCAAAAAAAAAUUCUUUAAGUUCAGUUUUACACAUUCCAAAACUUGCUUGUAACCUUUCUUUCUGUUAGCAAAUUUUCCAAAGACUAACUGUUCCAUUCUUUUCUCUUGUUCCACAUGUUUUUCAGGACUUGAACUCGGGGAAGACGAUUGGAACAGCUAGAGAAAUAAAUGGGCUGUACUACUUUGAUGGAAUUGGUUCCGGCAAUAAAACAACUCAUGGAUUAGUUAUUGAUGAUCACACAAGAAUUUGCUGGGCUUAUUUGUUGGAAAAGAAAUCUGAAGUAGAAUUGAAAGGGCUGAAAGCGUAGCUACGGGAUGUAGAUGUUGAUUUUGGAGGUCGCGUACUUCUUUGGUUAGAAGAUAACAAUUUAAAGAUUUGUUUUCAUAUGGUUGAAAAUCAUUUCAAACAAAAAUUCGCAUUCUAAGAAUGGAUAAUGGAACUGAAUAUUUCAAUAAAUAUUUGAAAACAUUUCUUCUAGAAAAAGGUAUUCUUCAUCAAUCAACUUGUCGUGACACACCACAACAAGAUGGUAUUGCCGAAAGAAAAAAUAGGCGUUUACUAGAAGUUGCUCGGGCACUUAUGUUUUGCAUGAAUGUUCCUAAAUAUCACUGGGGUAAUGUGCUCCUAACCUCUUGUUACUUGAUAAAUAAAAUGCCAUCUCAUAUUUUGAGAUUUGAAACACCUUUAUAGGUUUUGAAAAAUUGCUUUCAUGCAUCAAAGAUAAUAACAGAUCUGCCUUUAAAGGUUUUUGGGUGCACAUGUUAUGUGUAUGUUCCAAAUAUGUUUCAUUCUAAACUUGACCCUAAAGCAGAAAAAUGCGUCUUUAUUGGUUAUGCUUCUAAUAGACGUGGAUAAAAAGUGUUUUAAUCCAAUCAUUAAGAGAUCU
Ricinus communis (castor bean) is the source of this 2625-nucleotide RNA transcript. RefSeq lists it as uncharacterized. The transcript has 2 exons. Lineage: Eukaryota; Viridiplantae; Streptophyta; Magnoliopsida; Malpighiales; Euphorbiaceae. The record is from RefSeq and is a predicted model, not a curated record.